Molecule: unclassified non-coding RNA, 669 nt
Filed under: Homo sapiens (human)
Lineage: Eukaryota; Metazoa; Chordata; Mammalia; Primates; Hominidae
Description: calcium voltage-gated channel subunit alpha1 C (ENSG00000285479.3)
Source: RNAcentral
AUGCAGGACGCUAUGGGCUAUGAGUUACCCUGGGUGUAUUUUGUCAGUCUGGUCAUCUUUGGAUCCUUUUUCGUUCUAAAUCUGGUUCUCGGUGUGUUGAGCGGAGAGUUUUCCAAAGAGAGGGAGAAGGCCAAGGCCCGGGGAGAUUUCCAGAAGCUGCGGGAGAAGCAGCAGCUAGAAGAGGAUCUCAAAGGCUACCUGGAUUGGAUCACUCAGGCCGAAGACAUCGAUCCUGAGAAUGAGGACGAAGGCAUGGAUGAGGAGAAGCCCCGAAACAUGAGCAUGCCCACCAGUGAGACCGAGUCCGUCAACACCGAAAACGUGGCUGGAGGUGACAUCGAGGGAGAAAACUGCGGGGCCAGGCUGGCUAAGGGAAGCAGAAGUGCAGUGGAGCCUGCUGUUCUGUUGCCUUGGGGUGUCACGACUGUAAACUCACCCUGGCCUCUGGAAGAACUGCAAACAGAGGCUCUGAGUCAGACCACCACCGGAUCUCCAAGUCAAAGUUCAGCCGCUACUGGCGCCGGUGGAAUCGGUUCUGCAGAAGGAAGUGCCGCGCCGCAGUCAAGUCUAAUGUCUUCUACUGGCUGGUGAUUUUCCUGGUGUUCCUCAACACGCUCACCAUUGCCUCUGAGCACUACAACCAGCCCAACUGGCUCACAGAAGUCCAAG